GUUUGAUCCUGGCUCAGGAUGAACGCUGGCGGCGUGCUUAACACAUGCAAGUCGAACGAACCUUCGGGUUAGUGGCGGACGGGUGAGUAACGCGUGGGAAUCUGCCCUCAGGAGGGGGAUAACGGCUGGAAACGGCCGCUAAUACCCCAUAUGCCGAGAGGUGAAAUGAAUUUCGCCUGAGGAUGAGCCCGCGUCUGAUUAGCUAGUUGGUGUGGUAAUGGCUCACCAAGGCUUCGAUCAGUAGCUGGUCUGAGAGGAUGAUCAGCCACACUGGGACUGAGACACGGCCCAGACUCCUACGGGAGGCAGCAGUGGGGAAUUUUCCGCAAUGGGCGAAAGCCUGACGGAGCAACGCCGCGUGAGGGGUGAAGGCCUCUGGGCUGUAAACCUCUUUUUUCAAGGAAGAAGACCUGACGGUACUUGAAGAAUAAGCCACGGCUAAUUCCGUGCCAGCAGCCGCGGUAAUACGGGAGUGGCAAGCGUUAUCCGGAAUUAUUGGGCGUAAAGCGUCCGCAGGCGGCCCUGAAAGUCUGUCGUUAAAGCGUGGAGCUCAACUCCAUUUAAGCGAUGGAAACUACAGGGCUAGAGUGUGGUAGGGGCAGAGGGAAUUCCCGGUGUAGCGGUGAAAUGCGUAGAUAUCGGGAAGAACACCAGUGGCGAAGGCGCUCUGCUGGGCCAUAACUGACGCUCAUGGACGAAAGCCAGGGGAGCGAAAGGGAUUAGAUACCCCUGUAGUCCUGGCCGUAAACGAUGAACACUAGGUGUCGGGGGAAUCGACCCCCUCGGUGUCGUAGCCAACGCGUUAAGUGUUCCGCCUGGGGAGUACGCACGCAAGUGUGAAACUCAAAGGAAUUGACGGGGGCCCGCACAAGCGGUGGAGUAUGUGGUUUAAUUCGAUGCAACGCGAAGAACCUUACCAGGGUUUGACAUCCUGCGAAUCCCUUGGAAACGAGGGAGUGCCUUCGGGAGCGCAGAGACAGGUGGUGCAUGGCUGUCGUCAGCUCGUGUCGUGAGAUGUUGGGUUAAGUCCCGCAACGAGCGCAACCCACGUCGCUAGUUGCCAGCAUUCAGUUGGGCACUCUAGCGAGACCGCCGGUGAUAAACCGGAGGAAGGUGUGGAUGACGUCAAGUCAUCAUGCCCCUUACAUCCUGGGCUACACACGUACUACAAUGCUACGGACAAAGGGCAGCAAGCUCGCGAGAGUUAGCAAAUCCCAUAAACCGUGGCUCAGUUCAGAUCGUAGGCUGCAACUCGCCUACGUGAAGGAGGAAUCGCUAGUAAUCGCAGGUCAGCAUACUGCGGUGAAUACGUUCCCGGGCCUUGUACACACCGCCCGUCACACCAUGGAAGUUGGCCACGCCCGAAGUCGUUACUCCAACCCUU
This 1384-nucleotide ribosomal RNA is filed under the name metagenome. Its description in RNAcentral is "bacterial SSU rRNA". It matches the Rfam family "Bacterial small subunit ribosomal RNA". The record is from RNAcentral.